CCCUAACCCAUUCCCACACCGAUUUCUUUCCCUUCCUCCCCUCGCCGUUUCUCUUCCUCUGCAGGUUCUUCUUCCCCGAGCCACUUCGUCUUCCCCAAACCAACGGCGCCAACCCGACGCGACUCUUCUUCUCCUCGCUAAUAAAGCCAUCGGCCAAGGGAAGCCCCGAAGCCCUAGCGUCAUCUCCCUUCUCACCCGAUCCCCGCUGACCUCCUCUCCGACUCCACAGCUUGACGCCACAAGGGGAUCAUGUCGGCCCCGUUCAACCCACCGCCAACCAGGUCAUCCUUUGCCACGAUCGCCUGAUUCUUCUCGGUGGUUGCCUUUAUUCCCCCACUUCUCCUCCUUUCCUGUCCGAGUCAUCUCUCGCACAGGGGAGUCAACAGCCGAGGGCAAGGGGGGCCUCGAUUAGCCACCGUUGCUACUAUCGCCACGGACCAACCCUUCAUCGCCACCCUAUCGCUAUCACCGGUCGUUGCCCUUUUCUAUCUUCGAUCCACUGCUGCUUAUCGUCGGAGGCGCUGCCACCGGCUGUUGUGGGAGACGCCAUCACACACUCACCCUCUCCACCGGUCACAAGGUGUGCUCUGCUGCCUUGCUGCCAUAUUAGAGCGUCAUCCAGCUCCGAUCACCAGUUUCUAGCAAGUAUAGUUGUGUUCUAUGGAGUUGGAGUUGUUAACAGUGUUAGCAAGAACUGUUAUAUUGAGGAUUUUUAUUCGAGAUGACAUCUCGAUGUGAGAUCUAUUUCGGAUACGUUCUCCAUUUUUGAGACGGGUACCUUUGACUUAUCUUUUUGAUAUUGUCAUUCUGAUAUGCUUAGUGAGUUAUAACUAGUAGUAAUAGUUAUGCUUAUAUCUGCUUGGUAUGUCACUACUUGAUACCGUAGUUUAUCAUAUUGUUGUCUGUGAUACAUUUAUGCUUAUGCCCUUUUAAUUCUU
Molecule: long non-coding RNA, 938 nt
Organism: Zingiber officinale
Lineage: Eukaryota; Viridiplantae; Streptophyta; Magnoliopsida; Zingiberales; Zingiberaceae
Exons: 3
Source: RefSeq, a predicted model, not a curated record